RNAcentral lists this ribosomal RNA (406 nucleotides) under uncultured bacterium. Its description in RNAcentral is "partial 16S ribosomal RNA". It matches the Rfam family "Bacterial small subunit ribosomal RNA", at positions 29 to 526 of the family's 1533-position model. The record is from RNAcentral.
AUUGAACGCUGGCGGCAGGCCUAACACAUGCAAGUCGAACGAGGGGCGGGCGGGUGAGUUGUCUCGGGGAAAGUGCCUGAUGGAGGGGGAUAACUACUGAAAACGAGAGCUAAUCCCGCAUACCAUCGGAUGUCCCCAGAUGGGAUGAGCGAGUAGGUGGGGUAAAGGCUCACCUAGGCGACGAUCCCUAGCGGGUCUGAGAGGAUGACCAGCCACACUGGAACUGAGACACGGUCCAGACUCCUACGGGAGGCAGCAGUGGGGAAUAUUGCACAAUGGGCGCAAGCCUGAUGCAGCCAUGCCGCGUGUGUGAAGAAGGCCUUCGGGUUGUAAAGUACUUUCAGCGGGGAGGCGUUACCCGCAGAAGAAGCACCGGCUAACUCCGUGCCAGCAGCCGCGGUAAUUC